AUACGUAGGUGACGAGCGUUAUCCGGAUUUACUGGGCGUAAAGGGCGUGUAGGCGGUCUUGCAAGUCAGAAGUGAAAUUCCUGAGCUCAACUCGGGCGCUGCUUCUGAAACUGCAGGACUUGAGUGCUGGAGGGGAUAGCGGAAUUCCUAGUGGAGCGGUAAAAUGCGCAGAUAUUAGGAAGAACACCGGUGGCGAAGGCGGCUAUCUGGACAGUAACUGACGCUGAGGCGCGAAAGCGUGGGGAGCAAACAGGAUUAGAUACCCUGGUAGUCCACGCUGUAAACGAUGAAUACUAGGUGUAGGGGGUAUCGACUCCCUCUGUGCCGCAGUUAACACAAUAAGUAUUCCGCCUGGGGAGUACGGCCGCAAGGUUGAAACUCAAAUGAAUUGACGGGG
RNAcentral lists this ribosomal RNA (397 nucleotides) under uncultured bacterium. Its description in RNAcentral is "partial 16S ribosomal RNA". It matches the Rfam family "Bacterial small subunit ribosomal RNA", at positions 523 to 918 of the family's 1533-position model. The record is from RNAcentral.